UGGGGAAUAUUGCACAAUGGGCGAAAGCCUGAUGCAGCGACGCCGCGUGAGGGAUGACGGCCUUCGGGUUGUAAACCUCUUUCAGCAGGGAAGAAGCGAAAGUGACGGUACCUGCAGAAGAAGCGCCGGCUAACUACGUGCCAGCAGCCGCGGUAAUACGUAGGGCGCAAGCGUUGUCGGAUAUUGGGCGUAAGAGCUCGUAGGCGGUUAGUCGCGUCUGCUGUGAAAACUCGAGGCUCAACCUCGGGCUUGCAGUGGGUACGGGCUGACUAGAGUGCAGUAGGGGGUGACUGGAAUUCCUGGUGUAGCGGUGGAAUGCGCAGAUAUCAGGAGGAACACCGAUGGGCGAAGGCAGGUCACUGGGCCGCAACUGACGCUGAGGAGCGAAAGCAUGGGGAGCGAACAGGAUUAGAUACCCUGGUAGUCCAUGCCGUAAACGUUGGCACUAGGUGUGGGUCCAUUCCACGGAUUCCGUGCCGCA
Molecule: ribosomal RNA, 481 nt
Filed under: uncultured bacterium
Lineage: Bacteria
Description: partial 16S ribosomal RNA
Rfam family: Bacterial small subunit ribosomal RNA
Source: RNAcentral